CACGUAGGGAGCAAGCGUUGUCCGGAUUCAUUGGGCGUAAAGAGCUCGUAGGCGGCUCGGUAAGUCGGGUGUGAAACCUCUGGGCUCAACCCAGAGACGCCACCCGAUACUGCCAUGGCUAGAGUCCAGCAGGGGAGCGUGGAAUUCCCGGUGUAGCGGUGAAAUGCGCAGAUAUCGGGAGGAACACCAGCGGCGAAGGCGGCGCUCUGGGCUGGAACUGACGCUGAGGAGCGAAAGCGUGGGGAGCAAACAGG
This 254-nucleotide ribosomal RNA is filed under the name uncultured bacterium. RNAcentral describes it as "partial 16S ribosomal RNA". It matches the Rfam family "Bacterial small subunit ribosomal RNA", at positions 524 to 776 of the family's 1533-position model. The record is from RNAcentral.